RNAcentral lists this small nucleolar RNA (135 nucleotides) under Carlito syrichta (Philippine tarsier). RNAcentral describes it as "Small nucleolar RNA SNORA48 (ENSTSYG00000030654.1)". It matches the Rfam family "Small nucleolar RNA SNORA48". From Rfam's summary of the family: The snoRNA ACA 48 has been identified to guide pseudouridylation of the residue U3797 in the 28S rRNA subunit. Its host gene EIF4A1 (eukaryotic translation initiation factor 4A1) is shared with U67 and snoRNA mgU6-77 Lineage: Eukaryota; Metazoa; Chordata; Mammalia; Primates; Tarsiidae. The record is from Rfam by way of RNAcentral.
UGUCCCUGACCUAGGUAGAUUGGCAUAUGGUUGGUGGCGCCCAUCUCAUAUCAGCCAGGGACAAAGCAACUCCGUGUUCGUCCAAGCUGAGCUUUUGGUCUGUGCCCGUGCCUGGUUCAUGCUUUGGAUAUAUGG